UUGGGAAUCUUGGGCAAUGGGCGCAAGCCUGACCCAGCGACGCCGCGUGGGGGAUGAAGGCCUUCGGGUUGUAAACCCCUGUCAGGAGGGACGAGGCCCGCCCCUCCGAGGGCGGGUGACGGUACCUCCAGAGGAAGCCCCGGCUAACUACGUGCCAGCAGCCGCGGUAAGACGUAGGGGGCGAGCGUUGCCCGGAUUUACUGGGCGUAAAGCGGGUGCAGGCGGCCGGGUAAGUCCCGUGUGAAAGCCCACGGCUCAACCGUGGAACGUCGCGGGAAACUGUCCGGCUUGAGGGCAGCAGAGGGUGGUGGAAUUCCCGGUGUAGCGGUGAAAUGCGUAGAGAUCGGGAGGAACGCCAGUGGCGAAGGCGGCCACCUGGGCUGUCCCUGACGCUCAGACCCGAAAGCUGGGGGAGCGAACGGG
RNAcentral lists this ribosomal RNA (423 nucleotides) under uncultured Sysuimicrobiota bacterium. Its description in RNAcentral is "bacterial SSU rRNA". It matches the Rfam family "Bacterial small subunit ribosomal RNA", at positions 355 to 776 of the family's 1533-position model. Lineage: Bacteria; Bacillati; Candidatus Sysuimicrobiota. The record is from RNAcentral.